UCUGUCAACUAAUCAUGAGCCGAAACAAUUUUAGUUUUUUUUUCGAGAAUUCCCAGUUUUGGACUGUUCCCCUAAAUAAAGUGUUCAUGGCUCGAACAUUAGAGGCAUUAUUAGGCAGAUUCUCAUAGGCCCUGGUCAGUUCUCUCUUCUUUUUUUUCUUUUUUUUUUUGACCAAUACUACCUGCAAAGCCAGUACCGAAUCAGCUUUGACUUCUUCCAUGUAGGCAUGUAGCAGAUGACACAUUUUCAGCACGAGGCCUCCACUUCAAUUUUCACCUGAAAACAGCAAAUUUAAAAAAAUCAAAGCGGAUCACCUAAAGUCUGUCCACAAAUAUUCGGCACACCGAGAUAUCUACCUUCCUGUAUCACUUUUCACAAACUGCACGUACCAACUAUAGUAGAUAGACACAAGGGCGAUCUUGGAAUCAUCCAUUGGCUGUCAGGAAUUGACAGCUGAACCACCAAGCAGACCCAGAUGAAGAGAUGAUGGUACAUCGCCUCUUUGUCAGAUUGUUCUGCGCCUCUUGUGCUCACACACACCCCUUUUUGCCUCCGAUCAAUU
RNAcentral lists this long non-coding RNA (562 nucleotides) under Sorghum bicolor (sorghum). RNAcentral describes it as "long non-coding RNA (SBIC_LNC016413)". Lineage: Eukaryota; Viridiplantae; Streptophyta; Magnoliopsida; Poales; Poaceae. The record is from RNAcentral.